CGCCAGACUCCUACGGGAGGCAGCAGUGGGGAAUAUUGCACAAUGGGGGAAACCCUGAUGCAGCGACGCCGCGUGAGCGAUGAAGUAUUUCGGUAUGUAAAGCUCUAUCAGCAGGGAAGAAAAUGACGGUACCUGACUAAGAAGCCCCGGCUAACUACGUGCCAGCAGCCGCGGUAAUACGUAGGGGGCAAGCGUUAUCCGGAUUUACUGGGUGUAAAGGGAGCGUAGACGGCUGUGCAAGCCAGAUGUGAAAGCCCGGGGCUCAACCCCGGGACUGCAUUUGGAACUGUGUGGCUGGAGUGUCGGAGAGGCAGGCGGAAUUCCUAGUGUAGCGGUGAAAUGCGUAGAUAUUAGGAGGAACACCAGUGGCGAAGGCGGCCUGCUGGACGAUGACUGACGUUGAGGCUCGAAAGCGUGGGGAGCAAACAGGAUUAGAUACCCGAGUAACA
RNAcentral lists this ribosomal RNA (449 nucleotides) under uncultured bacterium. Its description in RNAcentral is "bacterial SSU rRNA". It matches the Rfam family "Bacterial small subunit ribosomal RNA", at positions 329 to 795 of the family's 1533-position model. The record is from RNAcentral.